GUGUUGUUUGAAAGCAGAGUAGGUUAGCACUCCCCUUGACAAGGAUGAAAGAGGCCCUCGGGCCUGACAACAUGUAUAUGGUUAAGGCAUGGCCACCUACUUCGUGGCAUCUAACCACUUUUUUCA
RNAcentral lists this non-coding RNA (126 nucleotides) under Moschus moschiferus (Siberian musk deer). Lineage: Eukaryota; Metazoa; Chordata; Mammalia; Artiodactyla; Moschidae. The record is from RNAcentral.